GUGUCCUGCUCGCUUCAGUGGCCCAUAUCCUGAAACCGGAACGACGCAGAGAAGAUUGGCCCCUGCGCAAGGAGGACACGCACAUUCGUGACGCGUUCCAUAUUUUA
This is a small nuclear RNA of Myotis lucifugus (little brown bat), 107 nucleotides long. The record is from Ensembl. NCBI's taxonomy places the organism in Eukaryota, Metazoa, Chordata, Mammalia, Chiroptera, Vespertilionidae.